Molecule: ribosomal RNA, 253 nt
Filed under: uncultured bacterium
Lineage: Bacteria
Description: partial 16S ribosomal RNA
Rfam family: Bacterial small subunit ribosomal RNA
Source: RNAcentral
UACAGAGGUGGCAAGCGUUGUUCGGAAUUACUGGGCGUAAAGGGCGCGUAGGCGGCCUUCUAAGUCAGACGUGAAAUCCCCCGGCUUAACCUGGGAACUGCGUCUGAUACUGUAGGGCUUGAGUGCGGGAGAGGGAUGUGGAAUUCCUGGUGUAGCAGUGAAAUGCGUAGAUAUCAGGAGGAAUACCGAUGGCGAAGGCAGGUCUCUGGGCUGACACUGACGCUCAUGCACGAAAGCGUGGGGAGCAAACAGG